Molecule: long non-coding RNA, 483 nt
Organism: Oncorhynchus tshawytscha (Chinook salmon)
Lineage: Eukaryota; Metazoa; Chordata; Actinopteri; Salmoniformes; Salmonidae
Source: Ensembl
GGGGGUUUGUGAGGCGGAACUCACAGAUGGUGGGGUAGUGGUUGUACAUCACACGGCAGGUAUGUGUGGAAGUGUUAUAGCCCUCGGCACUCACCGUGACCUCGUACUCACCCGGGUUCAGCAGGCGCCAGUAGUCCCCGUCAGGUACUACAGUAGGGGCAGGACACAAAAUGGCUACUGCUGAAGAGCUCCCAUCUGCAAACCAAGGCUGGAUGCUGUGAGAGGUCUGUUGGUGGACAAAGGGCAGCAUACUUUUAUGAGGACCUAAAGGGUUGCAAAAGUUGUGUGGAACUCUUCGUGGACUUCCUGUGGAGAAAACAACAACAAGAGGGGAGAGGAGAGAGGAGAUUCUUCCGCCCACCUUAACAGGGAACAAGGCUUCGCCAUAAUCCCAAUGUGCACCCUUGCUGCAUCCUGGAGGAAAGGAGUGGGGGGAGAGGGCGUCCUGUUUCCUGUGGCCAGUUGUGUUCGCUCCGUUCCCCU